ACUCCUACGGGAGGCAGCAGUGGGGAAUAUUGCGCAAUGGACGAAAGUCUGACGCAGCGACGCCGCGUGAGUGAUGAAGGCCUUAGGGUCGUAAAGCUCUGUUGAAUGGGAAGAAAAAUGACGGUACCAUUCGAGGAAGGACCGGCUAACUUCGUGCCAGCAGCCGCGGUAAUACGAGGGGUCCUAGCGUUGUUCGGAAUCAUUGGGCGUAAAGGGUGUGUAGGUGGCUAUGUAAGUCAGGUGUGAAAGCCCCGGGCUCAACCCGGGAAGUGCAUCUGAUACUGCGUAGCUUGAGUACCGAAGAGGAUAGUGGAAUUCCAGGUGUAGUGGUGAAAUACGUAGAUAUCUGGAGGAACACCGGUGGCGAAGGCGGCUAUCUGGUCGAGUACUGACACUGAGACACGAAAGCAUGGGGAUCAAACAGGAUUAGAUACCCUGGUAGGAUAGCGU
Molecule: ribosomal RNA, 450 nt
Filed under: uncultured bacterium
Lineage: Bacteria
Description: bacterial SSU rRNA
Rfam family: Bacterial small subunit ribosomal RNA
Source: RNAcentral